RNAcentral lists this long non-coding RNA (524 nucleotides) under Equus caballus (horse). RNAcentral's name for it is "lncRNA (ENSECAG00000054148.1)". The record is from RNAcentral. Lineage: Eukaryota; Metazoa; Chordata; Mammalia; Perissodactyla; Equidae.
GUCUCAACAGUGUUGGAGGCGCAGGUUACAAACAGUCUCCUGAUGGAGAGAAGCAAAGAGCGGAUGAUGCCGGAGGCUGAGGAAUCUCAUUACUAAUAUCUGCCCAACAAGGAUCGCAGUUAGAUUUACGUGCUGAGAAAUCAAGUUAUCAUUGAUGUUCUAGACUCUCAGGCCACUGCAACAUAGGAAUUAAAUGAGCAACAGAACUGCCUGAAAUCAGAAGGUUUCUGUGUAUCCUGUCCUGGGCUACAAACACUGCGUGGUGCUCCAGAAGUCCUGGCUCACUGUCAGCAGCAUCUCUGGUGGCAACAGCAAACCAGGGCUUCACAGCUUUAGAAAACACCAUCUUUCUAGACUGUGUUUCAUUUAUUUUUAAAGCUUCUGUAGUAAUCCUCUAAUUGCCUUAUGGAGAGUAGAUGCACUACUUUAUUUUUUUAAUUCUCUAUACGAGGGACUCGUAAUUGAGCAUUACUGUAAUAUUUAAAUAAAUAAUAACAGAUUUGACAAUCAUAAUCAUAAUCAUA